RNAcentral lists this ribosomal RNA (497 nucleotides) under uncultured bacterium. RNAcentral's name for it is "partial 16S ribosomal RNA". It matches the Rfam family "Bacterial small subunit ribosomal RNA", at positions 28 to 507 of the family's 1533-position model. The record is from RNAcentral.
GAUGAACGCUGGCGGCGUGCCUAAUACAUGCAAGUCGAGCGAACAGACGAGGAGCUUGCUCCUCUGACGUUAGCGGCGGACGGGUGAGUAACACGUGGAUAACCUACCAAUAAGACUGGGAUAACUUCGGGAAACCGGAGCUAAUACCGGAUAAUAUAUUGAACCGCAUGGUUCAAUAGUGAAAGACGGUUUUGCUGUCACUUAUAGAUGGAUCCGCGCCGCAUUAGCUAGUUGGUAAGGUAACGGCUUACCAAGGCAACGAUGCGUAGCCGACCUGAGAGGGUGAUCGGCCACACUGGAACUGAGACACGGUCCAGACUCCUACGGGAGGCAGCAGUAGGGAAUCUUCCGCAAAGGGCGAAAGCUUGACGGAGCAACGCCGCGUGAGUGAUGAAGGUCUUCGGAUCGUAAAACUCUGUUAUUAGGGAAGAACAAAUGUGUAAGUAACUAUGCACGUCUUGACGGUACCUAAUCAGAAAGCCACGGCUAACUACGUG